CCUCUUCCCAUCCGAGACGGAAAACACUAUAUCAGCCCUGCCGGUCCUCGGGCCGGCUAUGGCAAUAAAUGAGCGGUGUAAUAAACCUAUUGGACCCGGGGGCGGUACCCGGCGCCUCCACCAAAAACCGGCGGGCUUACAGUGAGAUGGCCGGCUUUUGAUGGGGGCGAAACAGGAUCGACAAGGGUGUAAAGAUCGUCUUUUUGCUCGGCAUUGUACCGCCGUUAUCGGGCUAAAAUUGUAGUUGCAAACGACAACUAUGCGGAAGCUCGUCUCGCUGCUUAAUCGCGGUGUGACACUUCAAAUAAAGCCCUAGUGGUUCGCACCUCUAGGCGGGGUCCGAAGGCACCUGGCAACAGAAGCCUUCACC
Rhizobium mesoamericanum STM3625 is the source of this 370-nucleotide non-coding RNA. NCBI's taxonomy places the organism in Bacteria, Pseudomonadati, Pseudomonadota, Alphaproteobacteria, Hyphomicrobiales, Rhizobiaceae. The record is from Rfam.